This 478-nucleotide ribosomal RNA is filed under the name uncultured bacterium. RNAcentral's name for it is "partial 16S ribosomal RNA". It matches the Rfam family "Bacterial small subunit ribosomal RNA", at positions 28 to 523 of the family's 1533-position model. The record is from RNAcentral.
GACGAACGCUGGCGGCGUGCUUAACACAUGCAAGUCGAACGGUAAGGCCCUUCGGGGUACACGAGUGGCGAACGGGUGAGUAACACGUGGGUGAUCUGCCCUGCACUUCGGGAUAAGCCUGGGAAACUGGGUCUAAUACCGGAUGGGACUCCGGACUGCAUGGUCUGGGGUGGAAAGCUUUUGCGGUGUGGGAUGGGCCCGCGGCCUAUCAGCUUGUUGGUGGGGUGAUGGCCUACCAAGGCGACGACGGGUAGCCGGCCUGAGAGGGUGACCGGCCACACUGGGACUGAGAUACGGCCCAGACUCCUACGGGAGGCAGCAGUGGGGAAUAUUGCACAAUGGGCGCAAGCCUGAUGCAGCGACGCCGCGUGAGGGAUGACGGCCUUCGGGUUGUAAUCCUCUUUCAGCAUCGACGAAGCGAAAGUGACGGUAGGUGCAGAAGAAGGACCGGCCAACUACGUGCCAGCCGCCGCGGUAA